RNAcentral lists this ribosomal RNA (420 nucleotides) under uncultured bacterium. RNAcentral's name for it is "partial 16S ribosomal RNA". It matches the Rfam family "Bacterial small subunit ribosomal RNA", at positions 360 to 772 of the family's 1533-position model. The record is from RNAcentral.
AAUAUGGGUCAAGGUGUGAAAGCGUGACCUAGUCAUGCCUCGUGUUUUAAGUAGGUCUUCGGUUAGUAAAGCAUUUCAUGGUGGGAGGUGGGGCAGUAAGUAAAUACGUUGCUGUUCUGUCGUUACCGACAGAAUAUGCACAGGAUAACUCCGUGCCAGCAGCCGCGGUAAUACGACUGGUGCAAGCGUUCAUCGGAAUUACUGGCCGUAAAGCGCGCGUAGGUGGUUUGUUAAGUUGGAAGUGAGAGCCCCGGGCUCAACCUGGGAACUGCUUUCAAAACUGGCAAGCUAGAGUAUGGCAGAGGGUGGUGGAAUUUCCUGUGUAGCGGUGAAAUGCGUAGAUCUAGGAAGGAACACCAGUGGCGAAGGCGACCACCUGGGCUAAUACUGACACUGCGGUGCGAAAGCGUGGGGAGCAAA